GACGAACGCUGGCGGCGUGCCUAAUACAUGCAAGUCGAGCGGACUGAUUAAGAGCUUGCUCUUAUGACGUUAGCGGCGGACGGGUGAGUAACACGUGGGCAACCUGCCCUGUAGAUCGGGAUAACACCGAGAAAUCGGUGCUAAUACCGGGUAAUAUCUGAGAUCACAUGAUCUUAGGUUAAAAGAUGGCUCCGGCUAUCACUACAGGAUGGGCCCGCGGCGCAUUAGCUAGUUGGUAAGGUAAUGGCUUACCAAGGCGACGAUGCGUAGCCGACCUGAGAGGGUGAUCGGCCACACUGGGACUGAGACACGGCCCAGACUCCUACGGGAGGCAGCAGUAGGGAAUCUUCCGCAAUGGACGAAAGUCUGACGGAGCAACGCCGCGUGAGUGAUGAAGGGUUUCGGCUCGUAAAGCUCUGUUGUUAGGGAGGAAACAGUACCGAACGAACUAGGUCGGUACCUUGACGGUACCUAACCAGAAAGCCACGGCUAACUACGUG
Molecule: ribosomal RNA, 500 nt
Filed under: uncultured bacterium
Lineage: Bacteria
Description: partial 16S ribosomal RNA
Rfam family: Bacterial small subunit ribosomal RNA
Source: RNAcentral